Molecule: ribosomal RNA, 433 nt
Filed under: uncultured bacterium
Lineage: Bacteria
Description: partial 16S ribosomal RNA
Rfam family: Bacterial small subunit ribosomal RNA
Source: RNAcentral
AACGAACGCUGGCGGCAUGCCUAACACAUGCAAGUCGAACGAGACCUUCGGGUCUAGUGGCGCACGGGUGCGUAACGCGUGGGAACCUGCCCUUAGGUUCGGAAUAACUCCCCGAAAGGGGUGCUAAUACCGGAUAAUGUCUUCGGACCAAAGAUUUAUCGACUUUGUAUGGGCCCGCGUUGUAUUAGCUAGUUGGUAGGGUAAAAGCCUACCAAGGCGACGAUCCAUAGCUGGUCUGAGAGGAUGAUCAGCCACACUGGGACUGAGACACGGCCCAGACUCCUACAGGAGGCAGCAGUGGGGAAUAUUGGAAAAUGGGCGAAAGCAUGAUCCAGCAAUGCCGCGUGAGUGAUGAAGGCCUUAGGGUUGUAAAGCUCUUUUACCCGGGAUGAUAAUGACAGUACCGGGAGAAUAAGCUCCGGCUAACUCCGUG